RNAcentral lists this ribosomal RNA (450 nucleotides) under uncultured bacterium. RNAcentral's name for it is "partial 16S ribosomal RNA". It matches the Rfam family "Bacterial small subunit ribosomal RNA", at positions 354 to 796 of the family's 1533-position model. The record is from RNAcentral.
GUGGGGAAUUUUGGACAAUGGGCGCAAGCCUGAUCCAGCAAUGCCGCGUGUGUGAAGAAGGCCUUCGGGUUGUAAAGCACUUUUGUCCGGAAAGAAAUGGCCUGGGUUAAUACCCCGGGUCGAUGACGGUACCGGAAGAAUAAGCACCGGCUAACUACGUGCCAGCAGCCGCGGUAAUACGUAGGGUGCGAGCGUUAAUCGGAAUUACUGGGCGUAAAGCGUGCGCAGGCGGCGAUGCAAGACAGAUGUGAAAUCCCCGGGCUCAACCUGGGAACUGCAUUUGUGACUGCAUGGCUAGAGUGCGUCAGAGGGGGGUGGAAUUCCGCGUGUAGCAGUGAAAUGCGUAGAGAUGCGGAGGAACACCGAUGGCGAAGGCAGCCCCCUGGGAUGACACUGACGCUCAUGCACGAAAGCGUGGGGAUCGAACAGGAUUAGAAACCCCUGUAGUCC